GGGUGACUGACCAUCCCAAUUUACCCAGGACAGAGGGGGUUCCCAGGGUCUGGGACCUUUUGAAACUGGAAAAUCCCAGGAAAACUGGGAGGAUUUGGUCACCCUACUUGGUCUCUCAUGAUGGAUCCCUGUUACCUUCACCAGGUUUAGCUGAUGGAGGUGUCCUGUGGCCCGGCACAGCCAAGGCUGACGUACUUGGACGUCAUCAAGGGGUGCGAGCUGAGAAGAGUCAACCCUGAAUGACAGAUGACCCAUCUGAGCCAGAUCUUGGGUUGGAGGGAAACUGACCUAAACUAGUCAUUUGUUAUACCUGCCUCUGACUCUACAAUCAGGAAGGAAAAGCCAAAGACAAGGAAAACUUGAGUGAACAUGCACAGCUUCUACUCUCUGUUCAAUGCAAUCACAAGAGAGAACUGAAGGUGCAAGGGGCGAUUCUCAAGUCAAUACAGUGACCUUGUGCCAGUCUGAGCCAUCUCCAAGGGACCCCUGCCUGCUACACCUGCCGACCAGCUUCACUUCUCUCAAGACGGCAUGGUUUCUCAGUAUCUGCAAGACUCCAACAACCACAGCCUCAGAAAAGAGACUCCUAACCCUGGGAACGAACAAGGGGUAGUGGAAGGAGAGGGGCAGAGGGAUGGGGUGACUGGGUGAUGGACACUGAGGGGGGCACUUGAUGGGAUGAGCACUGGGUGUUAUACUAUAUGUUGG
Molecule: long non-coding RNA, 708 nt
Filed under: Vulpes vulpes (red fox)
Lineage: Eukaryota; Metazoa; Chordata; Mammalia; Carnivora; Canidae
Description: lncRNA (ENSVVUG00000020551.1)
Source: RNAcentral